CGGCCGUGCGGCAAUACUUUGCAAAGGGAUUAAUAAAGAGACUAGACGUAUCUCACCUGCCUGCCGUCUGUUCAAUUUUGUCUGGUUUCGUCGUCCUAAGGGCGUAUCAAUUCAGGAACAAUCGACACGAUUAGAGGAGAUGUAUAAACCUGCGGCCUAGGUCUAGAGUGGUGGGAGCAGAGAGUGAGAGUCUGAUGGCACGAGUGUUCAGGAAAGCUCUAGACUUCGAGUAUCUUGAUCCUCUUUACUCGACCUCUCGUACGAUGACCUUGAAACUUCACUAUCAACUGGAUCCAAAUUAGAAAAGAAGCUUCGUAGAACUCUCCGAUUUCAGACAUUAAAAACCGUGGCACAACAAUAGCUCGUUAUGUAAAAGUCCAAACUCUAGAUUCACUUUUUAAGCCGAGAGCACUUCUAUUACAUUUGGGGGCGUUUAAGGAAACUAAUAAACUAUCGCGAGAGAUGUAAGUCCUACUAACACGUAUACUAUAAGUGUUACUUCAAGAGCUUGCGCGUAUACUUACUCUUCUUCACUCUUAUAAGAGCUUGUGUGUAUACUUACCCUUCUUCACUCCAACUUGCCUAUUUCUGUAUCGUGUUUAUAUAACAAACUUACGACUCUAUAACACAAGUGUGUAUUACUUUAUACCUUUCUAUGUAGGUUUUUUAGACACUUCUGUCUACUUAUUCGUGGUGACGAGACGAACACUCAUAGAUGGAUAUACUCCAGAAGUACAGUUAUACUAUCCAUUCUAGUACACCCUGCGUUGUAACGUAAGGUAGAAAAUAACAAGUUCUUUUUAUAUAGAUAAAGUUCGUGGAGUGUGUAUGUUAAACUUUAAUGAGUGAUGUAAUAACAGAUAAUACAUCACGAAUACUUCUAAUUUUCGAAGUUAAUAGGAUUUAUACCUUGAAGGAAAAAGAAAAACAUCUGCGUAAUUAGACGUACUUCUUUCGCGAUUGUUUAUUAGUUCCUUAAACGUUCCUAAAUGGAAUAGAAGUGUGCUUAACAUAAUAAGUGAAUCUAGAGUUUGUACUUUUAUAUAACAACCUACUGUUAUACUACGGUUUUUAAGACUUGAAAACAGAGAGUUUCAACGAAGUUCCUUUUCGUUUUGGUUCGAUAACGAGCUUUUGUCCCUCCGUCUUAACCUUGACAAUUUUCAUACGUAUCUUUCUUACUAUUUUCAUACUAAGUAAUCAAGACGGCCAUUCAAACAAGUACCGUGUACUGUACGAGGUGAUCAGAAUAAAUUAUCUCAAACACAUGUACAGGUAAAAGUGGAAAUGAGGCUCAAUCCCCUACUCUAGUUCGUAGCAACCAACAAGUAGUUCGUGUCUUCCCAAGGUUACACGACGUCGUUCCGUGUGGAUUUCCAUAUUGAAGAUUCUUGAUCGUACGGUUCGCUUUCUUUCUCCCUUCCAGACUAUGUUUCCUUUCCCAACGUUCUGGACAUAUAAAAAGAUAUGAAUAUCUCCACUGUGUACAAGGGAUUCCAUCCCAUGCGCAGCAACCAAUCGUGUUGUGGUGAUAGACCUAGAAGAUAUCCUGCAGCUGUUAUAUAAAACAAGUAUGUUCUUAGUUGAACAAGGAUUUUUUUGUUUCUUAGUCUAAAGGUCCUUUUUGACUUUGACGAUUUAAAAAGAUGAGACGUAGAAACCCCUAUAUUGCACAAACAAGUCACUGGUCAAAACAUCCAAAACUUCAACCAAUUAAUCUCAACCUUUGUGAUAAGGUAUAUGAAAGACAACUACGGAAAAGAACGAAGGUUUACUUCAAACAGAAUACAUAUUAUUUAAGGCCAAAUAUGGGGAAGGACACUGUAAAAACUGUCCUUAAUGAGAUAAAUUCUCUAAAAGUAGGCAAAAUUGGGUAAAUUUCCUUUAACACGGUGUAAAAUGAAGAUUAAAAAUCGUGCAAGACGAAGAGCCGACAGCCACAUGUGUGCUGUGUGGUGGACCCGACAAAAGGAACCGUCCGCCGUCGACCAAAGGAGGUGCACCGGGAGGGUGGACGGACCAAAUAGGGUUGAACACGGUGACGGGUCGUAGAAAAAAAAAAACCGAAUCCGGAAGUGAAUUUUCUCAAAUAUGAUGGUCAUGGUCGUGGUUGUUAGCUACACAGAAACCGAUUUAAAAACAACUCGUGUACACAAGUAGAUGAAGCUACACUAACUAAAAAAAGAUCUUCCUCCAAAAUGGGUGCCCAAGACGUAGUCCACUACGUGUGCAGGUAAAAUAAUUUGUUUCAUCGUUGCUUCAUGUAUCAAGUUGUGUUCAUAGAUACACAUGUUCAUAACGAUGCUUUUUGAAUUAGAGAAGUUAAAUAGUCGGGAUACUUUUGUUUCAUAUAUACACAUGUUAUAACGAAAACAUGAACCCUCGAGUACCGUAUAUUCCGACAAUCAGAUCAAAACGCACUUGUCAAUGUCCCUUGAUGGAUUUCCCAAGAUUAACUAUAGUGAAUACAAUGAUUGGAACUACGUCUUUACAACCCUUUGACAAUCAAGCCAGACUAACGGAUAGCUGAAGAAUUUAUAUUGAACCUGUGCGCGAGUCCCUUGGAGUCCCCACUGCUCGGUCUUUCUUUCCCGGUGGUUCCGUGAUUUCUAACCGGGGAGAGGAGUAUGAGGAACUGUCAAUAAGAGUGAUCCUAGUCACAGUGAUUACAAUCUCUUUCAUUGUAGAGGAGCUGUUGGGUCUUCAAAGGACCAGGGUAAGAACUGAAGGCAUGCCGGAACCAGAGUUAAAAGAGUGUAUGUAGUAUAACCUUACUGGAAGGACAAAUCAUAUCCCCAACGUAAAAUUCUAACUAUCCGACGAUGAGGGAGCCAGACUAACGAAUAGCUGAAACAUGAUCGAGAUCAUAUUUCAACAUAAUUCGAAAAAAACUCGUUUGUGUUUUAACAUGAUUCGAAUUCUGUGAAUAAAAUCCUAUCUCCCUCAAAAAAAAAGAUCCUUGUUACAACCCUUUGACAAUCAAGCUAGACUAACGAAUAGCUGAAUUUUUUAUAACUGACGAUGAAUAUGUUAGACAGCUCACUCUGAUUAGGAGUUUUUUUUUCAAGGAGUUUUUUUAACCAACGAU
RNAcentral lists this ribosomal RNA (3088 nucleotides) under Triticum aestivum (bread wheat). RNAcentral's name for it is "partial small subunit ribosomal RNA". Lineage: Eukaryota; Viridiplantae; Streptophyta; Magnoliopsida; Poales; Poaceae. The record is from RNAcentral.